UGGGGAAUUUUGGACAAUGGGCGAAAGCCUGAUCCAGCAAUGCCGCGUGUGUGAAGAAGGCCUUCGGGUUGUAAAGCACUUUUGUCCGGAAAGAAAUCCUUGGCUCUAAUACAGUCGGGGGAUGACGGUACCGGAAGAAUAAGCACCGGCUAACUACGUGCCAGCAGCCGCGGUAAUACGUAGGGUGCAAGCGUUAAUCGGAAUUACUGGGCGUAAAGCGUGCGCAGGCGGUUUGCUAAGGCCGAUGUGAAAUCCCCGGGCUCAACCUGGGAACUGCAUUGGUGACUGGCAGGCUAGAGUAUGGCAGAGGGGGGUAGAAUUCCACGUGUAGCAGUGAAAUGCGUAGAGAUGUGGAGGAAUACCGAUGGCGAAGGCAGCCCCUGGGCCAAUACUGACGCUCAUGCACGAAAGCGUGGGGGAGCAAACAGGAUUAGAUAACCCUGGUAGUCCACGCCCUAAACGAUGUCAACUAGUUGUUGGGGAUUCAUUUCCUUAGUAACGUAGCUAA
RNAcentral lists this ribosomal RNA (508 nucleotides) under uncultured bacterium. RNAcentral's name for it is "partial 16S ribosomal RNA". It matches the Rfam family "Bacterial small subunit ribosomal RNA", at positions 355 to 855 of the family's 1533-position model. The record is from RNAcentral.